Molecule: transfer RNA, 74 nt
Filed under: Mangrovibacterium diazotrophicum
Lineage: Bacteria; Pseudomonadati; Bacteroidota; Bacteroidia; Marinilabiliales; Prolixibacteraceae
Rfam family: tRNA
About the family: Transfer RNA (tRNA) molecules are approximately 80 nucleotides in length. Their secondary structure includes four short double-helical elements and three loops (D, anti-codon, and T loops). Further hydrogen bonds mediate the characteristic L-shaped molecular structure. tRNAs have two regions of fundamental functional importance: the anti-codon, which is responsible for specific mRNA codon recognition, and the 3' end, to which the tRNAs corresponding amino acid is attached (by aminoacyl-tRNA synthetases). tRNAs cope with the degeneracy of the genetic code in two manners: having more than one tRNA (with a specific anti-codon) for a particular amino acid; and 'wobble' base-pairing, i.e. permitting non-standard base-pairing at the 3rd anti-codon position.
Source: Rfam by way of RNAcentral
GUGGUUGUAGCUCAGUUGGUUAGAGCGUCGGAUUGUGGUUCCGAAGGUCGCCGGUUCGAGACCGGUCUCCCACC